CUGGCUCAGGAUGAACGCUAGCGGCAGGCUAACACAUGCAAGUCGAGGGGCAUCGGGAGUAGCAAUACUGCCGGCGACCGGCGCAAGGGUGCGUAACGCGUGAGCAACAUGCCCGUAUCAGGGGGAUAAUCCAUGGAAACGUGGUCUAAUACCCCAUAGUAAUUAUGUAAGGCAUCUUAUAUAAUUUAAAGCUUUGGUGGAUACGGAUUGGCUCGCGUGACAUUAGCUAGAUGGGUAAGGUAACGGCUUACCAUGGCUACGAUGUCUAGGGGUUCUGAGAGGAAGGUCCCCCACACUGGAACUGAGACACGGUCCAGACUCCUACGGGAGGCAGCAGUGAGGAAUAUUGGACAAUGGAUGGAAAUCUGAUCCAGCCAUGCCGCGUGCAGGAAGACGGCCCUAUGGGUUGUAAACUGCUUUUACAUAAGACUAACCGUAUAUUUGCGAAUAUACCUGAAUGUAUUAUGAGAAUAAGGAUCGGCUAACUCCGUGCCAGCCGCCGC
This 503-nucleotide ribosomal RNA is filed under the name uncultured bacterium. RNAcentral describes it as "bacterial SSU rRNA". It matches the Rfam family "Bacterial small subunit ribosomal RNA", at positions 19 to 518 of the family's 1533-position model. The record is from RNAcentral.